This is a long non-coding RNA of Symphalangus syndactylus (siamang), 1570 nucleotides long. RefSeq lists it as uncharacterized. Lineage: Eukaryota; Metazoa; Chordata; Mammalia; Primates; Hylobatidae. The record is from RefSeq and is a predicted model, not a curated record.
GGAGCUGAUUUGCAAGAUAGAGAAAGAAGAGAAGACCUGUGAGUGAAAAGCUGGGGGAGGAGCCCACCUCAUGGGACCUUCAUAAAGAGAACAGCAAUGCUUCGACACACCACCUAACAGUAAGUGUUUCUCGAAAAUGCAAUUAUAAAAGCUGUUAGGGGAAAUGGCCUGGCAGUCUUCGCCAGGAGCUCUGCCCAAAGACCAUCAUGAAAAGAAAGAAGAAAAAACAAUUCCAAGCCAUGGGGCACAGUCUGAAACCCUGCAUUUACCAUUCAAGGAGGAAGUGGGCAACGAGGCCCAGACCCACCCCAAGAUACACAAGGAGUAUAUAGAGACCAUAGCCCAGCCACAAGCACCAACACUACCCUUUACCACAGGAAAAUGAAAUUCCCUAAAGUCUUCAGAUGAAGCUCAGAGAACAGGGUUUGCAGCAUCGUCUCUCAGAAGUACUUACCAGCUCCUUCACACACUGUUCUUGCUGCUUGAGCUGGGUCACAGAGAUGACCCACCAAGCCCCAUAUCCAGCUACCCUGAAGCUAAGGCUACUUCUGAGCAUAGGCACUGGAUACCCUCAAGUCUUGGAUGUGGACCAGAGCAAUAAGCACUGCAGCUCAGUUCCUUUUAGAAAAAUAGAUUGAUUCAUCAAAUGCCAAGGCAUUAAGGAUGUGCUUAUUUUAUCAUGGUACAUUUAGAAGCAGAAAUUGGAUGUCUCUGUCAUAACACCCUCUACAGUCUCAAGAAGCUUCCCUUAUUUUCUCUUAUCUCUAACAUGGUCAGUAAGUUCUGCUGCCUUCCCUUCCAUCCUGAGGUCUUCAAAACAUUCUCUGUCAUAAGCAAAGAUACCAACACCAGCAUGAAGGCAAAUCAGAGAGGAAUCCACAUGCAUCAGGUUCAUAAAGUGGAGCAAGAAGGGGAAUCAGGAGAGAAAUCUGACACACCAUUUGGAUUCAGCAGUGGCCGCUUUCUAAAGAAAAACUGGAGGCUUUAACUCACUUGGUUUCUGAACAGUUACAACUUGGAAAUGUGGAACCUUCUCUUUCCCCCGGAAUUUUCCUGUGUUUCUAGUAAAAAAGAAAUCAGGAGAUCAUCAAAUGAAAACCACAGGGAAAAGACGUCCAUGUCAGAGACCACCCUCAGACAUGGUGAGAUCUGUGACAACUCCUCAGAAGCUGGCACGCCAAAUCAAAAUUGGUCUGAUUCAAUCCUCCCUAAUGGCAAUGGAGACCCAUCUAACUAAUCUCACUUCUAAUUAUCUUUCUUUUUCUGCUUACAAACCUAAAAAUCUCACCAUUUCUGUUAGCCUAAAAAUAACAUCCCUCUGUUCUUCUCUUCUUCCUUCUGCACUGAAUCUCACAAUAGGUUUUAUUUAAUGAUUCUCCUCCUUAUACUUUCUGUCUCACUAGUUUCCUCUCACACUGAUUUACCUGCUACACAGAAUUAUUCUUAUUGGGCUUAUGUGCCUUUUCCUCCACUUAUUCGACCUCUCACCUGGAUGGAUGCUCCUGCAGAAAUCUACACUAACAAUAGUGUGUGGAUGCCUGCAGCUACAGAUGACCAUUGCCCUGCUCAA